GGCCAGACUCCUACGGGAGGCAGCAGUGGGGGAUAUUGCACAAUGGGGGGAACCCUGAUGCAGCGACGCCGCGUGGGUGAAGGAGUGCUUCGGCAUGUAAAGCCCUAUCGGCAGGGAAGAAGCAAGACGGUACCUGACUAAGAAGCCCCGGCUAACUACGUGCCAGCAGCCGCGGGAAUACGUAGGGGGCGAGCGUUAUCCGGAUUUACUGGGUGUAAAGGGAGCGCAGGCGGCACGGCAAGCCUGAUGUGAAAGCCCGCGGCCCAACCGCGGGACUGCAUUGGGAACUACCGGGCUGGAGUGCCGGAGAGGUAGGCGGAAUUCCUAGUGUAGCGGUGAAAUGCGUAGAUAUUAGGAGGAACACCAGUGGCGAAGGCGGCCUACUGGACGGUGACUGACGCUGAGGCUCGAAAGCGUGGGGAGCAAACAGGAUUAGAUACCCCCGUAC
This 448-nucleotide ribosomal RNA is filed under the name uncultured bacterium. Its description in RNAcentral is "bacterial SSU rRNA". It matches the Rfam family "Bacterial small subunit ribosomal RNA", at positions 329 to 793 of the family's 1533-position model. The record is from RNAcentral.